Long non-coding RNA from Pogonomyrmex barbatus (red harvester ant), 654 nucleotides. The record is from RefSeq and is a predicted model, not a curated record. NCBI's taxonomy places the organism in Eukaryota, Metazoa, Arthropoda, Insecta, Hymenoptera, Formicidae.
ACGUCUGUCACGAGAUGUCAUUAUUAAUCUUAUCGACCCAGCGGAUUAUCAGACUGAAGUCAGGGUUAUUGAAUCUAGCCAAUCAAUGUUCGCUGGGUCCUGCAGUGACCCUGAUUUAUCGGCCUGAUUUAUCCGCUGGGUCGAUAAAAUUGAUUGAUGUAAACACGGUAGUGUUUUUGGUUAGACCUCUCGGGUAUCAAUAUAAUAAUAAAUACGCGUAUAUUAAAAUUAAAAAGGAAACAUUAGCAGUAUUAAUAAAUUGCAUACUACUAUUAUUCUUUUUCUGCACGUCCGAGUGGUGGCCAAUGAUGUUGACGUUCGCGGCGAGUUUGUAAUAAUUUCGGAGUGUAACUCAUGUUUAUGUCUAUACUUUGCAGAAAACUAUAAAAAAAUUAUAAAUGAACUGGGUUGAAAAAUUGGAUAUAUUGACGACAUACUUUGGACAUCCCUAAAACGUCUGUAUAAAUAAUUUUAUUAUAAGACAUCCAAACGUCCUUGGGACGUAUUUUAGACAUCCAGUGUACCGUGACAUAUGGGACGUUUCAGGACAUAUUUCGGACGUCCAAAGGACGUGUUGCGUCCAUGUGUUACAUGGAAAGAAACAUUUCAUUAUGGGCGUCGAAUAAUACUCGUCUCCUUUUAACAAUAUACAAA